AUAGCAUGGUGGGGGCACUUCUGACGUAAUUCCUUGAGUCUUUCCCAUGCUUCAUGAAAUUGUUCGCUCUCUAAUUGGGAGAAACUAGUAAUGACUCGCCUAAGGCU
Molecule: small nucleolar RNA, 107 nt
Organism: Telopea speciosissima
Lineage: Eukaryota; Viridiplantae; Streptophyta; Magnoliopsida; Proteales; Proteaceae
Source: RefSeq, a predicted model, not a curated record